UACGUAGGGUGCAAGCGUUGUCCGGAAUUAUUGGGCGUAAAGAGCUCGUAGGCGGUCUGUCGCGUCUGCUGUGAAAACUCGGGGCUUAACCCCGGGCCUGCGGUGGAUACGGGCAGACUAGAGUUCGGUAGGGGAGACUGAAAUUCCUGGUGUAGCGGUGAAAUGCGCAGAUAUCAGGAGGAACACCGGUGGCGAAGGCGGGUCUCUGGGCCGAAACUGACGCUGAGGAGCGAAAGCGUGGGGAGCAAACAGG
This 253-nucleotide ribosomal RNA is filed under the name uncultured bacterium. RNAcentral's name for it is "partial 16S ribosomal RNA". It matches the Rfam family "Bacterial small subunit ribosomal RNA", at positions 524 to 776 of the family's 1533-position model. The record is from RNAcentral.